Molecule: ribosomal RNA, 440 nt
Filed under: uncultured bacterium
Lineage: Bacteria
Description: partial 16S ribosomal RNA
Rfam family: Bacterial small subunit ribosomal RNA
Source: RNAcentral
CCUACGGGUGGCAGCAGUGGGGAAUAUUGCACAAUGGGGGAAACCCUGAUGCAGCGACGCCGCGUGAAGGAAGAAGUAUUUCGGUAUGUAAACUUCUAUCAGCAGGGAAGAAAAUGACGGUACCUGACUAAGAAGCUCCGGCUAACUACGUGCCAGCAGCCGCGGUAAUACGUAGGGGGCAAGCGUUAUCCGGAUUUACUGGGUGUAAAGGGAGCGUAGACGGCGAUGCAAGUCAGAAGUGAAAGCCCGGGGCUCAACUGCGGGACUGCUUUUGAAACUGUAUGGCUAGAGUGCAGGUGAGGCAAGUGGAAUUCCUAGUGUAGCGGUGAAAUGCGUAGAUAUUAGGAGGAACACCGGUGGCGAAGGCGGCUUGCUAGACUGUAAAUGACGCUGAGGCUCGAAAGCGUGGGGAGCAAACAGGAUUAGAUACCCGAGUAGUC